This 253-nucleotide ribosomal RNA is filed under the name uncultured bacterium. Its description in RNAcentral is "partial 16S ribosomal RNA". It matches the Rfam family "Bacterial small subunit ribosomal RNA", at positions 524 to 776 of the family's 1533-position model. The record is from RNAcentral.
UACGUAGGGUGCAAGCGUUGUCCGGAAUUAUUGGGCGUAAAGAGCUCGUAGGCGGUUCGUCGCGUCGGCUGUGAAAACCCGGAGCUCAACUCCGGGCCUGCAGUCGAUACGGGCGGACUUGAGUUCGGCAGGGGAGACUGGAAUUCCUGGUGUAGCGGUGAAAUGCGCAGAUAUCAGGAGGAACACCGGUGGCGAAGGCGGGUCUCUGGGCAGUAACUGACGCUGAGGAGCGAAAGCGUGGGGAGCGAACAGG